GCUUCCUACUGGGACCCUAAAUUUAGGAAACUAGUGACUGCCUGUCCUGUACCUUUUUCUCCAUAGAUCUCUGCUGUAUGUAGUAUUGUUGGAAAUUGCAAAUUUCUAACAGUUUGUGGUUAAUUAGCUGAGUACAGUUCCUGGCAGGUAGCAGGCACUUGGUGGAUAGACCAACAGUUGUUCUUAUGUGUACUCCUCUCCUGUCUCUCAUCCACAAAGUAGACUAACUCUUGACCUGCUCAUGUCCCAAGAUCACCCCUUAGCUUGGGCAGAACAGGGAAACUAGGGAGGGCCUGCUGCAGCCCACCUGACCCCCCACUAUUUACACCUUUGCUACCAGGAAUCUAAUUAUUUGAGAUUCAGCACUUUGAGUUUUGAAGACUAUUUGGAAUUUAAGGAAAGUACAAAUGCUUCUGAGAGGAAAAAGACUAUGAACCAUGAUCAUGAUAAUUUCCACCCUGGAGUUUCUACACUCUGAUGUCUCAUCAAGGGCAUAAUGGUGGCCAGAGAGUUCUUUUUAAUAUUUCAAAACACCUAAUGGAAACUUCCCAUUUAUUCAAGAUAAGGCUAUAAAAAGUAACUAAAAUGUCAAGGUUCUCUGCUCUCGCUGAGAGUAUCUACUGACUUGGCAGUGUAGCUCUGGUUAUUCCUUGCUGGUUAGGUGCUAUGGUUGGUAGCUAUCUAUCUUUGAUAAAUUUAAGAGUGGAAGGGGAGAUAAUAAUUACCAACACAGUUUAUUUGGUUAACAGAAUCUUGCCAAAGGCAGUGUCCAUGUGGGGAAGUAGGAAAGGGGUCGUAGGGAGUGGAGCAGGUGAGGGCCCUGCACACUGUCUCACUCAUUCCCAGGAAUUUGUAGGCAACUGGGCCGAGGGCAGAAGGCAGAGGAGGGGUAUGAAGAUCAGCUUCUGCUACCCGUUUUAUCACUUUUCAGAGGGCUGGCCCAAGGGGCCAGUGUUGCUGUGAAAGGCGCCCAGCCCAGUGUGUCAACCCUCCCUGCAAUUCAGACCUUAUCACACAGCCUCAUGGCAGCAGGGAUAAAUGCUCCAACAAGGCAAAUGAAUCCAGAGAGAAUAGGAGCCUCAAACCACGAAAAAUGAUGGAGACUACGGCCUACUUUCUUGCCUUGUAAAAGUCACUUACAUUUUUCUGGGGUACCAAACUGCUCUGUGUGGGGAACAGAACUGUGAAUGGAGAUGUGUGAACCCUGUUGGGCAAACACAGGGUGCUGUGGUCUCCAGUGGUUCUAGCUUUUGAGCCCAGACCAGAGAAAGUGAAACUGGUGACUGUAUAGAAAACUUGGACCAACCAAGUUAGUCCAUUUACCUCUUUGGUGACUCAGGGGGUGGAAAUGGUUUGGGGGGUUUUGUUUUGUUUUGGAGGAGUGAUAUUUGGAAGCAGAAACUCUAGAGAAAGACAUCCUGACCUUCUGGGGCACUUAAACCUACCACCACAGACCUUGGUAGUUAGUUGUUUUCUGUUUGUUUUGGUAUUUUCUAUUUUUGUAUUUCCAACCAGAUUGUAAGGUUGCUGGCAUCCAUUUAUUUACCAGUAAGUCUCAAUUUUCUAAUCUUUAAAAUGAGCAUAAUGAUGCCUAUUUUGUAGGUUUGCUGUAUUAGGGGUUCACUGCUCAGUUUUGGUUUCACAUCCUUUUCCCCUUCCUGUACUCUCUCAGAAAGGAUCUCAUGUCCAAAGAACAGUCCUCUCCAAGUGAGGGAGAUGGCUGCUUUCUUAAAGAGCUUGGCAAACAUCUGAGAACUGUUCCCUCCUGUUUAAAGACCCCUUGUUUCCUUGCACUGAGCCCAGCCCAGACCAUGAGCCCAUUUGUUCAGCUGGGAUGAAGAUGCUGAUUUUACUGCCACAGAGAGACAAGUCCCACCCAGUUUUGCUUUUUACAUGGAAUGCAUGACAAAGCUGGAGGAAAUGAACAGGAAAGUUCACAGAGGGUUGUGGUCCAUACUUUCUUAUUCACAAAACAAAAGAAUAAAAGAAGCAGCAGGACAUGCCUUUGAGGUACAUUAACCCUGUCCAUGGGCUGUCCCUUGGUGUAACCAGUUAGAAUAGCUACUCCUCCAACAGGGAGACCUAGAAAUGGGAUGGAAAGAGGGAUGAAAGUGCCCUCAAUUAAUAGUAGAGGAGUAAACAAGAGGACUGAGGGAAGAAGUUGCUUCCCUAACAGGGAGGAUAUAGCCCCGGGCACACAGCCUAGCCCAUGGGAGGGCCUUCCCAAAGGGUAAUUGUUACUAUUAGUGAUGGCUUUGCUAUACUGAGUUGAUGUCCAUGCUGUAACCACAGAGCUCUGCUGAGAUGAAAUUCCCUUAGUGUGCUUUUGUGGACCCCUUUACUGAGAAUGGCCCACAGAAGCACACUGAGGAGGAAAUUUCAUCUCAGCAGAGCUCUGUGGUUAUAGCAUGGACGUCAACUCAGUGUGGCAAAGCCAUCACUAAUAAUAACCCUAAUAAUGUUAAUAAUGGCCCUCUUGGUCACCCUCAUUAAAACUAGAAUAAUUUCUGUCCCUCAUUUGCCCAUGUGUCUGGAAAACCAAUGGAUAUGCCUUCCCUAUUUAAAAUAUGACUAUUGAAAUUUGUGUGCUUUAAAAUUUACGGUGAAUUUCCUCAUAUGUCACUUGCACCUCAUAACAGCCUUAUCAAGCAUAGACGGUAUGAGUGUAAAGAUAAGGAAGCUGGUGUCGAAAUGGCUUGAGCACCAUGCCAAGUUACUACAGUGAGUAAAUCACCAAGGCAGGACAGAAGUCUUUGGACUACACAUCCCAUGCUCCUUUUUGUAAUCCACAAUGCUUCUUCUGCCUCCUGUCUGUAACCUGGUAACAAGACUGGUCACUUUUCUUGAUGAGAGGCAUCAUGUGUAGACCCUUCUGUUUUCUAGAGGAGGAAAAUGGCUUUCAGCUUGUGGUGAAGGUUCUCAGAAAAAUAGGAACCAAAUAUGUCUUCAAGCCCAGUACAGGUGCCAGAAGAGUUUGGCAAGUGAGUUUACCGCUGCUGAGUCAGGCCCUGGUCCCCUUCUCCCGGGAUUUGGAUCAAUGUUGCAAUGACUCUGGCAGCUCUGUGCAUUUCCCUUGGCCUCUAAGGCAUUCCAGUGAUGAUGAUGGCUUGUCAGGGUCAUGGGCCCAGUACAAAGCAAGGCUAUUUGUGGCUUAUCGAAAACAUAACUGGAGCCACCUGCAUGUGAGUCUGGCUGCUUGGCCUCUGGGGCCUGCAACUCAGCUGAAAUAAAAUGUUCAUAUAUCACUCUGUAUAGUACGUAUCAAAAGUCAUAUCUUUUUCUUUAAGUUUGCAAGUAAUUGGAAAAUCAAGUUGUCAACUCCCCUGCCAUGUUGGACGACACUACUCAGUUUCUUAUUCCAUCCUCUGGGCCUGGAACAUCCCUCUUCUCUCUUUGUUUCUGUAAAUCCUGCUUGCCUGCAAGACCCUACUUUCUCCAUGGAGUCUCCUUGCCAGAAUGCCUGUGAUCUGGUUGUUUGUUGCUCAAGCUGAUGCUUUAUUAAAUAUCCCCUUGCAGUGUUUCAUGAUUGCUUUAUGCACAGUUAUUCUGGCUGGAUUCUUUGGAGCCAGACACUGGAUCUGCCUUAUCUUUCCCCUUUCUGUAAGUGCCUGGGUGUGCUGAGCACAAGUGAAUGCUGACAGAUUCAUCUGAUGAAAAAGUGGAGAUCUGGGAAUCUGGAGAUGUGGUUUUGUUAUCCAGGAUGAAUCCCUUCACCUCUCUGGUUGCAGUCUUUAUCUGUAAAAUGAGAGUUGAACUGGAUGAUCUGUAGAGUUUAUGCCAAAUCCAAAAUUCUAGGAGUACUUAUAGAUUAAUCAUAGAGAUUCUCAUUGCUUUUACCUGUCUGUAUGCAUUCUCCAUAUUGCAACCUGUUAAGCUGUCUUUGUCUUAUCACCUGCACCUAUGAUUUGGCUGCAUGUAGCUUAAAAGGAAUAUUAUCUUCCCAUCUCAGAGACAAGUUACAGAGGAGAAUGAGGGAAUAGUGAGUAGUUUUAGAAGCAGAUAUCUUUCAGUCCUGGGUUCAAAUCACAGUCCUGUCAUUUACUAGUGUGAUCUUAAUCAAGUUACCUUAUUAAAUACUAGUUUUCUCAUCAGAAGUAUAGAGUUGAUAAUAUUGGUAUCAUAGGGUGAUUGAAGAAUAAGUGAGAUAAAGCAUGUGUGGUGUAUACACAAUGUAAGUGCUCAAUAAAUAGUGGUGGCAAUAAUAAUUGUAAUUGGGAAGCAAAAGAGUGUGUCUUCUUAUCCAUCGGUGAGCAUUUUCUGAUUUGUAAACUAUUGGUUGUAUUUUAAGACAAUGCGUUUAUCAUUUUAAUAAGCAGCGUAAUGAUUUGAAGAAAAUCAUUUUGGUUUUAAUAAGAACACUAACAGUACUAAUUAUGCACAUGAUAGCAUUUUAACAGAGCUCCAUAAUUUAUGGAAUUGGGAGAGACUUACAAAAACAUGGGUUGACUCUCUGGAGUCUCAGAUUUCUGGUGAGUGAUUCAAACGGGCUACUUUUGCUUCCUGCCAGUGCAAAUAAAUCAAGUGUAAACCUUUACUUUUUAACCAAAUUGUGGAAAAUGGAACAGGUUUAAUGAUAAGGAACUGUCUUAAUGGGGCACUGUAUUCUUGAGGUGAUUGGCUAAGGAGAGACUCUCCGAUUUAUCCCUGAACUACCAAAAGUAACAGACCUGCUCUCCAAUUUGCUGCCCCCCCAACCCAGCUGCUCUGGAUUUAAGUAAAUGAAGUUUCUCAAGUCUUAAAGUUGGAAGGUAUCUCAGUGAUCUAAGCAAUGAGGCCUUAAAAAGACUUUGGGUGUAAAUCAAAAAUUUCUAACUGCCUUGCUCUGAGAUGUCAGGAAGGUCACUUAUCGACUUUGGAUACCUUAAUCUUACCAACUACAAAAAUGGUAUGAUGCAUGAUGAACAUAACCUGACUUUAGAGAGUGUUAGUGAGGAAAUAACGUGUUAGAUGAUCUUUUUCUGCCUAAAUGAAAAAAAAAUGUAUAUUGAGUAUUACCUUUCAAGUAACUUGGACAAAGUCCAGGGAUUGUGUGUGUGUGUGUGUGUGUGUGUGCGCCUGAAGUUCAAGUAUUUGUAAAGGUUUCCAGCACACAGUAUCUUUAAGAAACAGAGAAAAGAGUUUUAUCAAAAUAAUGCUUUUCAUCAGUGGCAGGUGAGCAAGAUUUAGGACUUUCAGAUCUCCCAUGUCUUAUCUUGACAAUUUAUGUUUUAACUGAGUUUCAACAUUGGCUCUCAGGGUCAGAAACAAUUCCAGAAGAUAAAGGAGAACGAGGAAGCCAAUUUUUAAUAAAUGUUCAGAGAGUAAAAAGAAAUAAUCAAAAUGGUAUACAUUGCAGAGGGCACAUGGUCUAUGAAGAAAUAGCUUUGGGUAAAACAGAACAGGACGAAGCUUCAAAGUGUCUUCUGCCUGUUAGUCCCAUUAGUGUUCUAGUGAUUUCUCAGAGAUUGAUUAUCUCUGGGGAACUGUGUUACAUCAACCCUCAAACUGUUUUUCCAAACCUAUUAGGCCCAGCAAACAUUCUGCACUGUUGGGAUAAUGGGCUUUUGUGCCAUAUUUACCCAUAUUCCUUCAGCUUGUUUCCCAUCCUCCCCAGACCCAGUCAGGGGCAGAAAGAUGCCUCCAUUCCUAGUAGUUUGUGGGAUUCCCACUCAUAACCCUUUGAGUGGGCAAAAGAAACUCAGAAUGGAGAGGCAGCAUCUACCCAGGUUAUCUUUAGGUUGGCUAGCCAAUUCUUCAAGUGGCUUUUGAUGUUUAUUUAGAUUUUCAUGGGGAGAUACACUGUCCCCAUUCAAAAUGGCCCUUUUUAUUAGAAAUAUAUAGAAUAUAUUAGAAGUAUAUAGUAUAUAUUAGAAGUACAUACUUAAGGAGCAUCAAAAGUGAGGGGAAAAAUAGCAUCUCUUGAAGUCUCUUUCUUUGUCUAGUUUGGCGGGCAAAGGAGUUUGCCAAUUGCUAACUUUAUAAAUAACCUCACAGUUUCAGUUUUGUCAUAUGUAAAAUGGCAAUAAUAAUAAUGCAUCCUUCAUAGGGGAGUUAGGAGAAUUAAAUGGGUUAGUUAUUUGGUAAAUGCUUAGCACUGUGCCUGCCUGACAUCAUAGAAGGCAUGCAAUAAAAGUUAGCUAAAGUUAUGUUAAUUUUCAAAUGGUAAGAAUUAAUAGGCAUAUUGUAAAUUGAUAUUAAGAAGGAAUAAGAUGCAUAUUUGGGAAAAGUGGGGGUCCAGGAGAGUAGCUAACAGCAUUUUGAAUGUGGGAAUAUGCAGGAUGUGAGCACAUCUUUGUACUUAAGGUCUACAUCCUCCUUGCCACAGAAACUACUUACAUCAGACAUAGCAAGAGAAAAAGGAUAGUGUGAGCAUAGUACAAAGGGGCUACCCAUAAGUCUAUGAUACUCAACCUUUUAAUAUCAUCCUCAGUCACUUCAUUCAUUGAUCCCAAUUUAUCACCCAACUUGUGCUAUACAUUGAUGUUAUAGAUAAAAACAAUCCACUCUUUACCCUUAAGAAAGCUGAGGGAGGAGAUGAGCAAGUAACCAGACAAUUAGACAAGUUCUUGAAUGAUCAGGAAGAAUGAGGUGUACUGGGAAGGCUUCUUGGAGGAGUUGAUAACUGAGAUUAGAUGAGUAAGAGUUAUUUAGCAAUAGGAUAAGAGAUUUUCAGGUAGAGGUUCCUGUAUGUGCAGAGGCAUGGAUGACAGAGCACUGUGUAUGCUAUAUCCUGUCUGCUAAUUUCAACAUCUCAGUCAUCUCGUGGCUCUUCUCCAUUGAUUGCCUUUUCUCUUAAGUAAGGAAUUUUGGAUUAUGUGUCUAGCAAUUUUGGAUUAUUUUCUGGACAUUGUCAGUGAUACAUUGUAGAGCCUAUGGAUUCUAUUCCUCUCAAGAAUGUUAAUUUUUUUAUUUUAGCAGGUAUUGAAUAUUUUUUAAAUUUACAUCCAAAUUAGUUAGCAUAUAGUGCAACAAUGAUUUCAGGAGUAGAUUCCUUAAUGCCCCUUACCCAUUUAGCCCAUCCCCCCUCCCACAACCCCUCCAGUAACCCUCUGUUUGUUCUCCAUAUUUAAGAGUCUCUUAUGUUUUGUCCCCCUCCCUGUUUUUCUAUUAUUUUUGCUUCCCUUCCCUUAUGUUCAUCUGUUCUGUGUCUUAAAGUGCUCAUAUGAGUGAAGUCAUAUGAUAUUUGUCUUUCUCUGACUGGCUAAUUUCGCUUAGCAUAAUACCAUCUAGUUCUGUACAUGUAGUUGCAAAUGGCAAGAUUUCAUUCUCUUUGAUUGCUGAGUAAUACUCCAUUGAAUACAUACACCACAUCUUAUUUAUCCAUUCAUCCAUCGAUGGACAUUUGGGCUCUUUCCAUACUUUGGCUAUUGUUAAUAGUGCUGCUAUAUACACUGGGGUGCACGUGCCCCUUUGAAACAGCAUACCUGUAUCCCUUGGAUAAAUACCCAGUAGUGCAAUUGCUGAGUCAUAGGGUAGUUCUAUUUUUAAUUUUUUGAGGAACCUUCAUACUGUUUUCCAGAGUGGCUGCACCAAUUUGCAUUCCCACCAGCAGUGCAAAAGAGACCCUCUUUCUCUGCAUCCUCGUUAACAUCUGUUGUUGCCGGAGUUGUUAAUGGUAGCCAUUCUGAAAGGUGUGAGGUGGAAUCUCAUUGUGGUUUUGAUUUGUAUUUACCUGAUGAUGAGUGAGUGAUGUUGAGCAUCUUUUCAUGUGUCAGUUGGCCCUCUGGAUGUCUUCUUUGCAGAAGUGUCUAUUCAUGUCUUUUGCCCAUGUCUUCACUGGAUUAUUUGUUUUUUGGGUGUUGAGUUUGAUAAGUUCUUUAUAGAUUUUGGAUACUAAGACUUUAUCUGAUAUAUCAUUUGCAUUUGUCAUCUUCUCCCAUUAUGUCGGUUGCCUUUUAGUUUUGCUGAUUGUUUCCUUUGCCGUGCAGAAGUUUUUGUUUUGAUGAGGUCCCAAUAGUUCAUUUUUGCUUUUGUUUCCCUUGCCUCUGGAGAUGUGUUGAGUAAAAAGUUGCUGUAGCCAAGAUCAAAGAGGUUUUUUCCUGCUUUCUCCUCUAGGAUUUUGAUGGCUUCCUGUCUUACAUUUAGGUCUUUUAUCCAUUUUGAGUUUAUUUUUGUGUAUGGUGUAAGAAAGUGGUCCAGGUUCAUUCUUCUGCACGAUGCUGUCGUUUUCCCAGCACCACUUGCCAAAAAAACUGUCUUUAUUCCAUUAGUUAUUCUUUCCUACUUUGUCAAAGAUUAGUUGGCCAUACAUUUGUGGGUCCAUUUCUGGGUUCUCUAUUCUGUUCCAUUGAUCUGAGUGUCUGUUUUUGUGCCAGUACCAUACUGUCUUGAUGAUUACAGCUUUGUAAUAUGGCUUGAAGUCUGGGAUUGUGAUGCCUCCUGCUUUGGUUUUCUUUUUCAAGACUGCUUUGGCUAUUUGGGGUCUUUUAUGAUUCCAUACAAGUUUUAGGAUUGUUUGUUCUAGCUCUGUGAAGAAUGCUGGUGUUAUUUUGAUAGGGAUCACCUUGAAUAUAUAGAUUGUUUUGGACAGUAUUGACAUUUUAACAAUUUAGCAGAUAUUGAAUUUGACUGAACUCAAACAUCAAACUCCACUUUCUCUGUAGUGGGCAGAAACUUAAAUCUCUGAUCAGUUCUAUUAAACUUAGCUGGGUUGUUUAGAAUCUGUCCCAUGCAUGUAUAGCUUAAGAGUCAGCUAGAGAUUUGGAUGGAAUUUAUAUAUAGAAUUUAGAGUUCCAUUCUGAGGCUCUCUCCUUUUUGGUAUUUCUUCUCUCAUUUUUCAGCUGCCUCAACUCCAUCUUCUGAUUCUGCAGGUAUCUAUCUAGUUUGUAGCCACUUCACAGGGUGCUUAUUGGGGCCGCCUCUCAAGCAAAAAGUUGCAAAGACCAGAAAACUUGUCCAGGGCUCCCUUUACCCAGUUUCUGCCUGCUUUUGGUUGCCCUCUAGUGCACACAAAUAGUUAUUUUUGAUAUUUUAUUAGAUAAUAGUUAUGCAGAAAGGAUUGGUCCAAUAUAAGCUACUUAACAUAUUGGAAGCAAAACAUUCACAUGGAUAUUUCAAGAACUUCAAGCUGUUCAGUAUGGUUGGAAGGGAGUGUGUGUGUGUGUGUGUGUGUGUGUGUGUGUGUGUGUGUAUGUAUUGUAGGGGACUGGAAGGAUAUAUAGCUUGGAGAAAGGCAGAGGCCAGGUCAUCAAGAGCCUUGUGUGUAACACUCAGGAAUUUGAGCUUUAGCCUGAAGGAUGUGAUGAAGAGCUUUAAUUAGAAGAGUAAAAUGAUCAGAAUUGUGUCUCAGGAACAUGGCUUGACAUCUGUUUGAAGGAUGAGCCAGAAGAGGUAGGAAGAUAGUUAGGAGGCUAAUGGGUAAAACAGAGUUCAGUUUUCUCCUUUGCAAGAUGAGGGGUUGAGCUAGCUGAUCAUUAAUGUCUUUUAGCUUUAAUAUUAUGAUUUUCCCACUAAUGUCCUUAUUUGGCCUUCCUGGAGCUGGGGUUCCUAUAAGGCUGUGUUUUGCAGAGCACUAUACACAGUCCUAUGAUCCCAGACUUUAGAUGAUGCCAACAGAGAAAAAUAUACUUGGUGGUGUUCUUUGGUUUAUGAAUACAUUAAGGCAAUGGGGUCACAAAGCAACACACACAAAUGUACCAUAGGUGGUUAACAACCUUUGAAUUUCUCUGUCUCUCUCUUACCUCCUGCAUCACAACAGGCAUUUGGUUAUUCCAUGUUAUCUUAAAUGGCCUACUAUUAAUCUGAAUUUGACUUUUUAAGUUCUCAAAGAGAAGGAAAUGGGCCUAUUAGUAACCCUGGGACAUAUUGCAGUUGGGGUGCCCAGAUUGGGAACAGUGGGAAUAUACCCUAUCAUAGUUUUCUGAGAGCCUCCGGAAAUGCUGAUAGCAGUAUGAUGGACGUACUGGAUUUUAUCCUUUCCUGGUUCUGGCCUAAUAGGAAAGUGAGGCUUCCCUGAGCCUCAGAAUGUUCUGCAUCUUCUAAAGCCUCUUGGAGAGCAAAGAGCUCUUUUGUGUCAGAUUGUGAUGGCAUGCUGAAAAGCAACAUCAGCCCUUGCUCAGGAGGGCAGUCCAGAGUCCAGUAGGCUACCUUCAUCAUGACACAGUUUUAUGUGCUUUGCCUUAGUAGGAGCUCAGGCCUUUUAGUUCUUAAAGCUGGCUGAGUAUACUAUCCUUGGUAAAUCAAUCCUACAUUCAGUACAAGAAACACCAGGCUUUAGGAGUUAUAGAGGCAACAAUGUAAUUCUUGGAUGGUGUUUCUUACAUGAAACUGUAAACAAGGCUUUCUUCUUAGGAUUUCAAGACCUGGUACAGAGAUUCGUGAAUUACCUUCCUGACUUUUUACUUUGAGGAAUGCCAUUUUAGUCAGAGUUGACUAAAUGAUAAAAUCAUUUAGAGCCUAUAUGGCUCUAAAAUUUUUCUAUGAUCUGUUUCCAGCCUGGAGUGUAUGAGUGUAUUAGCUCACUUAUUUACUAGGCACCUGGGGUUGACCUGGGGAAAUUCUAGUGAUUAAGAUGCAGUCCUUGUUCUCAGAGAGACCCUAGGCUAAGUAUCUGACAUGGCCCCUCCUUGACUGCUUGGCUUUCUACUCUGCAAACUGAGCUUAUGAACAUGGUGUGCCUUUCCAUGGUGGUUCUCUCUUUUCUAUCACACUGUGGCCACUGAAUUGGAUUUGGUGAAAAUAUCAGGAAGUGAAAUAAUGUGCUUGUGGCAUAGAUGUUCAAAUUUGGCCACACAUGACAUUUUGCCAACUUCUAUUAUAUCUAUUAUGGUAUAAUCUGGCCAGUGUUUGGAUUUGAGGGUGCUGUGGGGCUCACUCCAAGUUCAUCUCCUAUUUCUCUGCCUCUGUGCCUAAGUUUCUGCCAUUGGUGUAACUCAUCACAUUAUCAUGGGCUAUCCCAUGGGUUAUCAUGGAUGAAGGCAUAUUCUACUGGAAGAAGUUGAUUGGGGAAGCACUUGACUUAUUUAUGAUGUUCCAUCUGAGAUCUGUGGAUGGCAGCAGUGGGAGGUGGGGAUGAGUUUCAGGGGUUGAGAGAAAGUGAGUCAAAAGAGCGUGGAAUAGGCAGAAAUAGGAAUUCUCCCCUGUUGCAGUUUUGGCAGGUUCUCGGCAUAUAUAUAAUUUUUUUUUUAACUUUUAUCUCAAGCAUAUAAUAGAUGAUCAGACAAUGAAAUCUCAGGCUCAGCCUUGGCUGGCAGUUAGAUCUGUGAAUCUCAGCCCCUAUUUAAGUCUAGUCAGGACUGAGUCAUUACAGGGUGCCUUGCAUAUUCACAUAGUGGGAUUUUUGCUCAGUCUCAUUCAUUUUAAUAUGGCUUCAGCAUAACCAGGUCUAUGAGGAAUGAGGUAUCCUUCCCAAUAUGGGGAUAAGCCCUCUGCUCUGAGGUACCUGCUGAUUUAGAUCAGACCCUGUUUUUAGAGGGAAAAGUCUAUUUUAGAAUAGGAGGGACAGAGGAGCUCAGCCAUGACCUAAGGGAAGAGAGGGACUGAGCUAUCCUACCCCUUCAUGUAUGGUUGACUCAGCCAAGUUUGACUGCAAGAAUGGGUCUUGGCCCAGGAUGGAGAGUAUCCAUUAAUGAGGCAAGUGGCUUCAAGAAGAUCAAAAUAAUUAGUCAGUUUUCACUGCUGCAGUGAGUCACCAUCUUGAAGACAUUAUGUUCCAACUUAAGAGUUAGGAAGCUGAGGUAGAAGAUGCCUAGUUCCUCCUCCCCAGGGAAUGCCAAGUGUGUCUGAGGGCUGGUGGAGAACGGAUGAGGAUCCAGUUCUUUUCUGCUGCCUGCGCUUUUGCUUCCUUCUUGCCUUCAGUGGGAAGGAAUGUGAGAGGGACAGUGCAUUCGAGUCUGAGGUGAGUUGGAACGGACUCAUUAGGGGCAGAUGAGUGGUCUAGCAGAAAGCAAUGUAUCUAACACUGCUACCCAGGACCCUGGGGACUAGAGAGAUCUCACCAGGCCUGCAGGGGUUCCUGAGUGGCAUAUUGGUAGGCCUGGCUUUCCAAACCUCACUGUUUGAGAGGGAUAAAUAUUCCCCUUGGAGGCAGGGAGAAGGGCUGAUGGUGUCUGCAUCUGGAAUUCUCCAUCUGUGUGACUCAUGCAGCCCGUAGAAUGCCCUGUAGCAGGGAGAGACAGCUCGCACCCUGUGGUUACUUUACAGUACAUGGCUUUCCAAGUACUGGGUUGGAUUACUGAGAAGUCUUUUCCCUGGGGCAUCCCCAUAUAGGUGAGGUGGAUGUCAGUCUGGAAAGCUGAUUCACAUAUUCUCUAAAAGGCAGGCAGGAGCAGCAUGACCUGUCAGGGUAAUAAGUUCUAUAGCUGUGUGGCCAGAGCUAGAAGUGUGUCCACAGAACAGAAAUUCCUUUGGAACUGAGCAGGAUGUCUCCCUUAGAGACUGAACCCUUGAUCUUUAUUUUCAAGAGUCCCCCACUGCAGCUGACUUGCAAAUGAGAGGCUGAGACAAGAGACGGCUAGGCUUAGGGCAUAACAUCACCUCUGUAGGAAGGAGGAGUCAAAGUGUACAUUCCCCUCCCAUCACAGAGUGAUGGGCACCCUGCACAGAAAGUCUGUCAAGAAGAGUCUAGUAGGAGAACUCAGACAGAUGGGGCUCUGUUAGGUUCUGCCACUUUCUGGAUAAGUGACCUUCGGGACACCACUUAAACUCUUUGAACUGUCUUUCUACCCCUCCCUCUGUCCCUCCUUUCCUUUUGAGUGCCUACUAGGGGUUAUAAGUGCUCAAAAUGCAGUGGGAAGUAAUAUAACAAGGCUGAUGCUCUAUAAGAGAGUGACAGAAAUGAGGUAAACAACUAAAUAAGUAAGACUAUUUUAAAUCCUGGUAAGUGCUUUGAAAAAAAAAAGUAAUGGGGUGGAUGGUGCAGUGGAGGGGGGUGUGGCUACUUCUGGGGGGUAGCAUGGAAGGCCUCCCUAAGGUAAUGCUCUUUGGGCCUUUUAUUAAUAGGCCUGAGAGAAAGGCCAUUAAAAAAAGAAGGAACAGGAAACGCAGUGGCCCUGAGAUGGGAAGGCCCGUAGGCAGAUGGCCAUGAUGCCCUAAGUGGGCACAGAGCCUGGUCUCUGAAUCCCAAUGUGAAGGAAAGCUUAUCUGGAAUUACUGUGAGCAAGAAAUAAACUUAAAUUGUGUUGAGCCACCUACAUGUUGGUGUGUAUUAUAGCAAUUAGUGCCACCCUAAUGAAUACAGUAUAAACCAUUGCAUCUAGUGGUGCAGAGGGCCUGAAGCAAAUGUGGAACUUGAACACAGAAAGGAAAGCCAAUUAUCACCUCAGCAACAGGAGGGUGUUCACCUCUCUCUCCUUGUAGUCUGAGCCAGAGGCUCUGUCUUGCUGUAAUGUCAGUUCAAAAGGCAGCAUUUCCAGACUGUUGUCACGUCACCGGGAGCCCUUGGUCCUCUAAUUAAGCAGUAAUGUGCUUGUCCAAUAAAUACCAUAUGGUUGCAAUGAAUCAAGACCAAAUUAUCAUAGCUUUAAAAAUUAAUAUUAUUAAUGUUGAUAAUAAAAUCUUACAAUUUUAUGUCAUGUUUUUCUUCUGAAGAGCUCAAUAUGCAAGUAUUAAAAUAUAUGUCCAAAUAUCAUACCAACUGUGCCUUAGGAAGAGGUGAAGACCCACAGAAAAGUUGGAAAGAUGACUUCAUACUUUAAAAUAAGGCUCACUUCUUUCACCUAUCUCUGACCCCAUAAAGAUAGCUAAUCUUUUCUAGCAAUAAACCAGAAUUGUGUGAUAGAAUUAGGAAAAUGGGAUUAUCUUCAUGUCACGGUAAGGAGAUGAAGCACAAAUAAGGGGCUGGAGUGAAUUAGAUACUACAAAAUGUCAAGAUGGGAGAAACUAGAGUAGACUUGCCCUCAUGAACCUGGACUAUUGAGAGAGGAUAUGGGGUGGGGUCAGGGAGCAUGGGAAGGAGAACUGGCCAGCUUUGGCCAGUGCCUUACUGGCCUGGAAGUGGCAGGUGACUGCAGAAUUGAUGAGGAGCCAAGGGAGGGAUUUAUCAGGAAGCACUGAGUUCUGAAUGGUGGGCAUACUUGAGGACAGGAGACUAGCCUCCAUCUAAGAGGGAGAACAGGGCUUACCCUAAGGGAGGUUAAAUGAUGGAUUGAUAAUGUGUCCAGGGAGUUCUCUUACUUAUGAGUGACAAAAGUUUAAGAGUUUCUGUGUUUGGCUCUAACCCAGAUCCAUUUCUUCACUGAACUCAGAGAUGCCAUGGGAUAACCCAGGGGAGUUGGGGGAAAGUAGGCAUUUACAUCUGAGGGGGUAGUUAAGAAAGAGUUAUGAGCCACAGGAUUCAAACAAGUUGCUAAGGACACCAUGGAGACCAUUACUUGGUCAGUUCUCCAUUUCUAGGAAGGCCCAUAACCAUAAACCAAAAUUCAUUAGUCUCUUAUUCAACAGGAAUUAAUUAAUUGGCUAUAUGUGCUUCUCCUACCCUGGAGGAGCUUAUAAUUAAGAUGAUCAUACAAUGUAUUAGCCAAACAAAGACACAUUUGAGAAAGAAAGGGGACACUAUUAAUAAUUAUAUGGGGACAGCAGGCACACACAAAGGUGGCUCAGGAAAACUGGGAUAUAUGGAGACCCGACUUCUGAGAUAUCACUCCAUUCACACCGAGGUACAGUGAGAUGCAUGCUCCAUGAGCAGUGCAUGUUUCCACCCAUGUCCUCAUCUUCUGCCAAGAAUGGGACUCCUUUCCUGCCUGCCUGAGCCCAUUCUUCUUACUGUCAAGACUCAGCUGAAGCCCUCCCCCCACCCCCCACCACUCUAGCCACUGACUAGGUUUGUGACUUUGGACAAAUUACUUAACCAGUACUCAAAUUCUGUCAGUAAAAUGGGGAUAACAAGAAUACCUGUUUUGCAGGGUUGUGGUGAAGAUGAAUGAGUUAAUAUAGAUUUACACUAGAAUGCUGCCUGACAUAAAGUAAGCACCACAUACAUACUGGUUACUAUUAUGAUUGGCUUUGUGACAGCGGAUAACUUACCCAAUGUCUCUGCACUUUAGUUUCCUCAUCUGGGAAACAGGGACAGGAAUACCUACCUUUUAUGGACUUGGAAUUCAAUAAAAUAUAGCCCCCCUCUUCCUUAGAAUAAGCAGCAGACAUUGUCCACAGAUUUAUUGCAUAAUAUAUUUAGAUGUGGUUAAAGAACAUUUACUGAAUGGACAGGGGGGUUGCCCAAGAGGAAGGAAGCAAAUAGGGAGAGGGAUGUGUGGCCUUCAUGGAAAGGGUAGGCAGGAACCCAGAUAAGCGGAUUGCUAAUCUUCUUAGCACCCCCAGGCAAGAAAGAAGACUCUAGAAGUCACGAGAUGGGCUGGCCUUUUUCUCAGGAUAAAAACCAGAGGAGCUUUCUUUAAACUAGAGAGGCAAGGCACGUAGCUACAUCCAAAGUCAGAAAAUGACCAGCUUUUUUUGCUUCUAGUAUUUGACCUCCAUUCAGAACUGAUGGGAGGCACAGAACUAUUCUAAGUACUUUGAAUUAUUAUUUAUUUACUUCAUUAAAUUCAUCUAUAAAACAGCAACUUAUAUUUUUUAGAAAUGGCUUUAUCAUGGAAAAUUUCAAACAUAAUCAGAGACUUGUACAAUCAUUUCCCAUGUAUCCAUCUCUCAGCUUCAGCUCCAUAGUUAUCAACACCUGUCAAGUUAGUUUUCUUGUUUCCCUCAAGACAUUUUAUCUCAGAUAUUUGAAAGCAAAUUCAUCAUCAUAUAUACAGAUGGUCCUUGACUUAUGAUGAUUUGACUUGUAAUUUUUCGACUUUACAAUGGUACAGUAGUAGAAUCAGUAGAAACCAUACAUCAAACUUUGAAUUUGGAUCUUUUCCCAGGCUAGCAAUAUGCAGUACUAUACUCUCCCAUGAUGCCUGGUGGUGGCCAUGAGCCACAGCUCCCAGUCAGCCCUGUGAUCACAGGGCCAGUAACUGAUACAUUUACAACCAUUCUAUACCCAUGAAAACAUGCUGUUUUUCACUUUCAGUACAGUGUUCAAUAUAUUACAUGAUAUAUUCAUUAUUUUAUUUUAAAAUAGGCUUUGCAUUAGAUAAUUUUGCCCAACCAUAGGCUAGCGGACAUGUUCUGAGCAAGGUGGGCUAGGCUAAGCUAUGAUGUUUGAUAGGUUAGGUAUAGCAAAUACAUUUUCAACUUAUGAUAUUUUCAGCAUACAGGUUUAUUAGGACAUAACCCCAUCAUAAGUUGAGGAAGAUCUGUAAUUUCCUCUAAAUACUUCAGUGUGUAUCUUCUACAGAUAAAGACUUAAAAAACCCCAAAUAUCUGAAUCACCCCAGACAACAAUAACACCAACAAAACUCAGUAAAUCCUUAAUAACAUCUGAUACUCAGUUCAUAUUUAAAUUUUCCUUAUUAUCUAAAAAAAAAAAAAAAACCUUUUCCCAUUUGGUUUGAAUCAAGAUCCUAAUAAGGUCCACACAUUACAUUGACUUGUAUGUCCUAAAUCUCUUUUUGUUAACGAUUGCCCCCUCUCCUCUUUUGAAUGUCAUUUGUUUGUUGAAGAAACUGGGUCAGCUGUCCUGCAGAAUGUCCCACAUUUUGAUUUGGCUGACUACUUCCUCAUUUUGUCAUUUAAUUUGUUCCUUUACCCUCCUAUUUCUUGUAACCUAGAAGCUAGAUUCACGCUCCAUUUGUUUUGGAGGGAAGGUCAAGGGUAUUCUUGUUGGGGCUAUGCACUUCCUGUUGUAGUACAUCAGCGUCACUUGUAGUGAUUCUAGGACUUUUGAGGGGGCUCAGGAAUUGAUUGUCAGACUGUUCUCUCUAUUACGGAGCUCCCCAUCAACUUUUCACAUUGUGAUUUUAGCAUCCAGUGAUGACCGUUGCCCAUACCUGUUAUUCACUAGGACUUGUAAAAUGUUCAUUUUUUAUUCCAUCACUCCUUUGCACUUACUAGCUGGAAGUCUUUUAUAAAGAACUACACUCCCUCAUCAUUUAUUUGGUUUUCCUGAAAUACAGUUUGAUAGAAAAAGCAGGAUAAGUGCUUUCCUAUCAUUUGUCAACUUUUGGAAUAAUGAGUUGGUGCCCUAGCAAAGAAGGAUAGAUCUUUCAUGAAUUAAUUAAUUAAACAACUAUUUAUUGAGUUGCUGUUGUAUGUUAAGCAUUGUUAUAACUCCUGAUGUGAACAAUUUUUUGUUCAUCAGUGAACAAAACGGACACAACUCUGCUUUCUUGGAACUUACAUUCUGGUGGGAGAAGACAAAUAAUAACCAAACCAGUAAGUUGAUAUAUUGUGUUAGGUGAUGACAAGGGAUAUGGAGAAAAAUAAAGCAGGGCAGGGGUAUAGGGAGUGCUGGAGGGAGUGGGAGUUGGGUUUGCAAUUUUAAAUAAGGUCAGGAAGGCUCAUGAGAAGGUGACAUUUAAACAAAAACCUGAAGAGGGUGAAAGCAUGAGCCAUAUACAUUGUCGGAGAGGAGCAUUCCAGGCAGAGGGUCUUAAGGUGGGGACCGUGCCUACAGUAUUUGAGGAAUAACAAAGAGGCCAGUGUGGCUGGUGUGAGUGAAUGAAGGGGAAGUCAGUAAGAGAUGAGGUCAGAAAGGUGGGAGAGAGGGCUGACCAAGUAGGGCCUAGUAGACAUUGGAUUUCCCUUUGAAUGAACUAAGCAGCCACUGAAGGGUUUUGAGCAGAGGCAUAUGAUGUGACUCCUGAUGGAGUAGUCAGGUAAGGGUGGAACCGAGUUUAGAUUUAAAAGUAGAAAGCUUCUUUUCUUGCCAGCUAGUACUGGCAAGGUGGACAGAAGGUGUUUCAUCUGUUUGGAGGGGAAUUCUGCAUCUGGUUAGUAGUUGGACUAUAGGAAAUACUGUCUCUUAAUCUAUCCUUUUAAGUUCCUAGGUUUAACAUUUUCCUUGGCACUGUUGAGCACUUCAUAACAUAAAAUUCCAGGGCAGAAACCUUCCUCUUUCACCCUCCACACAGAAUGACUAUAUGUCCAUCAUCCCAGAGAAAUCGAAUUCCAUCUUACUCUAAAAUUAUGAUACAGGGGAAAAUGCCACCACUUGACCCAUCUCCUUUUGUUCUUGGUUACAAGUCUGUCAGCACAUUUUCACCAUCUCUAAAGAAUUGGUGUUGGCUAACCAGUGGGGAUUCCUGGUGAUUCUAGAGGUAGGUCAGUGUUUGUGGCGGCAGAGACCAUCCAUCUGUCCAGGGGUUACCACUUUAAGCAUGGUGAGGGGCACACUUUUCCUUCCAGAGUUUCCCAGUCAGCUUGGAGCACACCUUUUCAUCCAUGCCGCCUUCUCAGCAUCCAGAGAGCCUUUUUGUGGAUGAGCAUCUGUCUUUGCCUGUAACUCCUGCCUGUCAUAGGCUGUUAGGAAUUUAUGGGUGCUUAGCAACCAGGAGAGGAUACAAUACAAGCAGCCUGAAUACAAUACAAGCUAUGCCUGUCAAGUAGCUGUUCCCUCUCUCAUCUUCUGCUCUGGGUUUGUAUGUGAAAUAAAAGAAGAGACAGAGACACUCAAUGUCAACUUAAACAGUGGCUUUUUUUUAAUUAAAAAAAUUUUAAAUGGAAUCUAGUUCAAGCACACCUUGCCUCAAAGAAAGCUUGCAAGCAUCCCUUCUCAUCAUUCUGUGUCAUCAUUCCAGGUGGUUCUCUGUAACCUUCUGAGGUUUUUUCCCCACAGGCCUACUUCUUGGUAGGUACACCAAGGGAAGCAAGGGGGUGGGAGGAGGCCAGGCCUCUCCACAAUGCAAGGUUCUUCUCAAGCUGCAGGUUCUGAAGAGGAUAAAGAAGGACAUAAUGAGGGGAGAAAAUUUUCCAAAGAAGGGACAUAACUUAGAAUGGUCUCUGUGCCUCUUAUUGAAAGGAAAAUUGCUGGCUAGGGGAGUGGCAAAAUAUUUCAAAUGAAUGACCAUCCUUGGUAGUGGCCAAUACACAGCAAUGUGACAGGACAGGAAAUGGAGCUCUCAGGCCAGGAGGCUUCAAGAGGAGCCAGGGGCUUGUGGGAAGGGAGGGGAAUGCUACAGAGCUUGCUGUCUGCAAGGGGUCAUACACUGUUAGCUGCAAUUCUUAAAAAUACCUGUAGGAGGCAUGAACCUUCUUUUUUGCACAGAUGAACCUAACUCAGAAUUGCUGCUGCAUGUGAGGUUAUGUGCUGCAGACAGUCCAAGUCUACAUAAGGCUUGACAAAGGAUCUAAGUGAUUGCCUUGUAGUGUCAAGGCAUCCGUGUCUGAAGAGCUGGAUGCUAAGACCUAGAGUUUGGCCCCCUUCCAAGGUUGUCAUAAAAGGCUCCUGGAAAAUGCCCUUCUUUCCUGACUCCUGGGCAGACUCUGCCACUUUCUUCAUGACCUGGUUCCCACCAUGGAGUUUUUGGGGCUGUGUGAGUACGAGAGUUUUGGACCUAUGGGUGUGUUCUUUUUUUUUUUCAGAUGAAUUGCACAUCCCCUGAGAGGAAAACAAAAAGGUAGAAGUAAGGGGAGUCUUUUUGUGGUGAGAACAACAUAAUGCUUAUUUAAUUCAUUAAACAAGCAUUAAAACGAAUGUUUGAAAACUUGAAAUCCAAAGUCUUUUUUUAUAAUCUGAGUGUCCUCUUGUAUCUCCAGUUGUUCAUGGUCUUUACAGGCAUGGGGGCACAGCACAGAAGUUAGAGGGUGAUGUAUUGCCAAAGAUGAAGCAUUCCCUGGGCCUACCGAUGAUGGUAGGUUUUAGUGAAUUCAUGGUUUUGGCCAGAUUUUUGACCCAGUGAGCUGUCUGAUGAAGGGAAAGUACACAAACUUAUUAGUGAAGUCAGCACCUUGGACCCAUAGACUCUUUAAGGUUAGCAGGACCUCUGAGGUCAUCUAGCCCAUUGCCCCAUUGAAUGCUUGAUUAGUAAUUGAUGCAAAAACUCCAGGUUCUGCAUUCCAAAGGUUGACCCAGGCCCAUAUUAUUGGUUUAGAAUAUUAUCAUAAUUAAUGGAAUGCUGCUAGAAUAUUGGCUUCAGACCUGAAUUCACAAAUUGGAAGAGAUUCAGCAGUAAAAAUAUCCAGAGGAAGCAACAGACAUUAGUAAAGUUAGAAAGUAGACACAGUGAGAAAAGAGUAAGUUCAGUAGGUUCGAAGGAACAAAGUUUCAGAAUAAUGAUCACAAAUAAGUAUUCAGUAGUUAAAUAAAAAUACCCUUGGCCCACACUUACUUGAUGUGAACCUUCUUUCAGGAGGAGUUCUUGCCUUCCUGCCUUUGGUUUCUUCACCCUCUGAACCACUGGACACACAAUUACUGGAGUCAUCUGCUGAGAGUCUUCUUCCUCUGCAUUUGUUCUCUCCAAGAAUGAAACUUUCAUGGGUUCUCUUUGUCUAAUUGGAGAAAAUUAGAGCUUUUUACACUUGCCUUUCAAGGCUCCACCCUUCUUUCUCCACCCUUUGAUAUAAGCUUUUGUUUGGGGCAGGUGGGUUCACCCACUGCCUCCUGAGCAGGCCUUACUCUGAGUCUUUGCUCAUGCUUGUUAGAAUGGGGAGCAUAUCUUAUAGUUCCUGUAACUUCCAUUAUUACCUACCGUGAGGUUGAGUACAUAGUAGAUGUAUGAAUGAAUAAAUGAAGCCUACAUUCUACAUAAGCAAACAUACAGGUAUGAGCACACACCCAUAUGUCUGUCUGCAUGCACAGAAACACCCCCUACUCCUAAGCACAGAUGGAGAUAGCCCCUAGCACCCCUCUUUUCUGGCACCUGGCAAAGGGCGAGGGGCCUAGAGAAGUAUAAACAUCAACCAGAGGGGACAGCAGUAAGAUACAGAAGCUCCAGUUCUUGUUUCUCUCUGGAGCCAGCAUCUGCUAGGAAGCCCAGCAGGUCUGAGUACUGGCAAGCCUGGCAUAGAGCCCUUCUCCUUUCAGAGGAAGCAAAAUGUCCUGGCAGGAUGAGUCAGUGGGAGAAUGGAACCAGAGAGUGAGUCACUUUGGGAGGAGAGGCUAAAGGAUCUUCUCUGCUCAAAGAUAUUUUAGUCUUGGUAGGUUUUUCCCAUUUCUCUUGUUUAGAUAUAAGUUUGGGACAUGUGAUUGCGGUGGGUAAGUUCUCAGAUGUAAUACAGAAAACUUCCCCUUGACUGUCUGGAGUGCUGCGUACUGGAACACUUUUGCAGUAAAGUAAGAGGUUAAGAGGGCUGGCUUUGGAGCCAGGCAAGCUGGGUCCUAAUCACAGCACAUCCCAGAAGCAACUAGGGACCUUGAGUGGGUGCUUGAGUCCCUUGAAGCCUACUUUUUAUCAUUUUUUAAAAUAAGGGUUUUUGCGAGUGUCAAAUGAGAUCACGUAUUCACUUAUUCCACAAGUAUUUGGCUGUCUAAUGUGUGUCUGGCACAUUGCUGGGUGCAGAGUACAUGGAAGUGAAUGCUGCAGAUUUGGACCCUGCCCUCUGUGGUCCAAGACACUUGCUGGGAGAGCCACCAUGAGGAGAGCCAUUUGUGUAGUACCUGUAGACAGGAAGUUCUCAGCCAAGACAGUGAUUACAACGAUCAUUACUAUUUCUUCAGUUUCCUCUAAACCAGCUCAUAUUUUUGCAUCUCAGUUUCUUCUAUAAAAUGUGGAGCUGAAUUAAAAUAAUCUCAAAGGGGAAUACCCCCAGCCUCUAGCCUUAAGUUGAAGUUUUGGAGCUCAUGCUUGUUAUUUGGAGAGUCUGUAAAAUACAAAUGAGAGGCAGCUGGAGGGAGCAGCAUCUAGGCCUUUAGUGUGGGAUGGAAUUAAGAUCAACAUGAUCACAAUAGACUGGUAUGGUCACAAUGGACUGGUAUGGUGACCUGAAGCAAACAGGAAGACAUUGGAGUCUGAUAUUUAGGCUCCCAAACUCAAUUGUUCAAAGACAUAGUGAAGGAGAGCAGACUUGAGAAUAGAGCACAUGAAAACAGUCCAGAAUGAAACUGGUACCUCGUCUGCCUUCUUGCUCCUCGAAGGCACAACCAUCUCAGGAGCUAUAGCAGAGAAGAGAAAGGGACCUUGCUUCACAUGAGGAAAGUGUCCUGCUGAACACCAUCCUUAGACCCUUAAUUUAAUCUAAAAAUGUUUUGUGUGUAAAGUACAAGCUCUGUUGUCUUCUGUAAGCAGAGGGUGAGGUGGGUGAGGUGAGGCCCAUGGAUAAAGGGCCAUAGGUCCUUAGAAUGCUCCGGGUCCCAGAGAUGAAGACAUCUGUCUGACAAAGUCCCCCAUGUCUCACAGUCCAAGACAGACUUCUCUUCUCCAUAAACAGAUGCUUUUAAGUGCCUGAUCAUAGAAGCCUAGGAAGUGGCUGUUUGUACUACCAAAGUUGUUUUUUUUUUUUUCUAUGCAGAUAAAAUCAUCAUGGGGAUCCUAUGAAAGGAGUAUGUCAAGUAUGUACCUGGAGUAUCUCCCCUGGAGUAUUUAGAAACUGACUUGAUUUCCACACUGAGUAUUGUUUAAAGUGAGACAUACAUAGUCUUUCCCUUAAAGUGACAUGCCUCUGAACUAUUAGGUCAGAGACCUAGUUAGGCUAUUAGGUCAGAGAAGCAACAGGCUAGUACCAAGAAGGUGGUGUAGGAUAUUAUGUCUGCAGUCCUGUCUCUGAGCUGUCCUCCCCCGUUGCCACCAAGUGCCAUGGUUACUGCCUUGUCUUCUUCCCCUCAGGGUAGCUCUUGCUCAGUGCUGAGGCCAUUCUUUGUUAGGGUCUGUGUCACCCACUGCAGGGUGUUUAGAAGCCUUGGCUUUCACCCCCACUUAAGUCCCCACCCAAGUAUGGUGACACCUGGAAGGACCUCUGCUCACCUCGAACCACCUCCUAAGGGGACAUAAUGCUCCUGGUUGAGAAGGUCCAUUCAACACAGAACCAACUAGAAAGUUAGAAUUCUGGGGCCUGACUUAGUCAUAUGUCUAAGCCUGUCUCUUCCUCUGUUUUUAGGGCAGUUUUCUGAAUCUAGAGAAGGAGGACAUUUCUUUCUGCUCACCUGGCUGCUGACAUUAUAGCUUCAGUCAGCAAACAAAUGAAAUAAACAUUGAUUAUCAUCCCCCCCUUCUCUCCACACACCCAUGGGGCGUUCACUCAUGCAUUAUGGAUGCAUUUUCACACCAAAGAGAUUGCUAAACAGAACCAAAGGGGGUAGUGUGGGGUAUUGUGACUGGAAGACCUUCACAGCAGGUUUUCUUCUUACCAAAUCUCAGGGCCCAGCGCCCCAGGCUCUGUUCUUCAAUGCCCAGGGGGGCUUGUGACGGCUGCACAACCACCACUUCAAAGCGGGAUGCAGGGUUAGGGAUGCUUGGCAGUUUCUUGGACAUCAUACAGCACUUGCAAAACAAAUUUGGUGAGUUAUGAAUGAAUCAGAACCAGACGAGUUAGUUACAUUUCUCUCAGAAUGCAUAUUUAAAACUUCUUACACACACACACACACA
This is a long non-coding RNA of Acinonyx jubatus (cheetah), 23258 nucleotides long. RefSeq lists it as uncharacterized. The transcript is spliced from 2 exons. The record is from RefSeq and is a predicted model, not a curated record. NCBI's taxonomy places the organism in Eukaryota, Metazoa, Chordata, Mammalia, Carnivora, Felidae.